GACGAACGCUGGCGGCGUGCCUAAUACAUGUAAGUAGAACGCACAGUUUAUACCGUAGCUUGCUACACCAUAGACUGUGAGUUGCGAACGGGUGAGUAACGCGUAGGUAACCUGCCUGGUAGCGGGGGAUAACUAUUGGAAACGAUAGCUAAUACCGCAUAAUAUUAAUUAUUGCAUGAUAAUUAAUUGAAAGGUGCAAUUGCACCACUACCAGAUGGACCUGCGUUGUAUUAGCUAGUAGGUGAGGUAACGGCUCACCUAGGCGACGAUACAUAGCCGACCUGAGAGGGUGAUCGGCCACACUGGGACUGGGACACGGCCCAGACUCCUACGGGAGGCAGCAGUAGGGAAUCUUCGGCAAUGGACGAAAGUCUGACCGAGCAACGCCGCGUGAGUGCAGAAGGUUUUCGGAUCGUAAAGCUCUGGUGUAAGAGAAGAACGGGUGUGAGAGUGGAAAGUUCACACUGUGACGGUAUCUUACCAGAAAGGGACGGCUAACUACGUG
Molecule: ribosomal RNA, 505 nt
Filed under: uncultured bacterium
Lineage: Bacteria
Description: partial 16S ribosomal RNA
Rfam family: Bacterial small subunit ribosomal RNA
Source: RNAcentral